CAGGGGGCGCUGGCGGCGGCUCCGGGCGGAGACAAUCGCGCUGAGCGGCCGCCGCAGCCAGAGCGGGAGCCCGAGCCGCGCGGAGCUGGGGCUGAGCGGGGCCGGCCGAGCGGGGCCGGGCGGGAGCCAUGGGCCGCUAGGGCCGGGCCGAGCCCCGCGAUGCCGCCGCCGAGUGGCCCCAGCGUCCUCACGCGGCUCCUACCGCUGCUGGGGCUGCUGCUCGGCGGCGCCUCCCGCGCUCCGGGCAAGUCGCCGCCGGAGCCCCCCAGCCCGCAGGAGGUCCUGAUCAAGGUCCAGGUGUAUGUGAGCGGGGAGCUGGCGCCUUUGGCCCAGGCCUCAGUGGAUGUGUUUGGGAAUCGUAUGCUGCUGGCUGCUGGCACCACGGACUCAGAGGGCGUGGCCACACUGCCCCUCAGUUACCGCUUGGGCACCUGGGUGCUGGUCACUGCUGCCCGCCCUGGCUUCCUCACCAACUCCGUGCCCUGGCGCGUUGACAAGCUGCCCUUGUAUGCGUCAGUCAGCCUCUACCUGCUCCCCGAGCGGCCGGCCACCCUCAUCCUCUAUGAGGACCUGGUGCACAUCCUCUUGGGUUCUCCUGGUGCCCGCUCUCAGCCCUGGGUGCAGUUCCAACGGCAGGCUGCCCGCCUGCCUGUCAGCUCCACCUACAGCCAGCUCUGGGCCUCGCUCACACCUGCCAGCACCCAGCAGGAAAUGCGGGCUUUCCCUGCCUUCCUGGGCACCGAGGCCUCCAGCUCAGGCAAUGGCUCCUGGCUGGAGCUGAUGCCCCUGGCUGCCGUGAGCGUGCACCUGCUGACAGGCAAUGGAACAGAAGUACCACUCUCGGGCCCCAUUCACCUGUCUCUGCCUGUGCCCUCGGAGCCUCGCGCCCUGGCUGUGGGCACCAGCAUUCCAGCCUGGAGGUUUGACCCCAAGAGUGGGCUGUGGGUACGCAACGGCACCGGUGUGAUCCGGAAGGAAGGCCGGCAGCUCUACUGGACCUUUGUCUCCCCCCAGCUGGGGUACUGGGCGGCUGCCAUGGCCUCCCCCACGACUGGGCUGGUCACCAUCACAACAGGCAUCCAGGACAUCGGCACCUACCAUACCAUCUUCCUGCUCACCAUCCUGGCAGCCCUGGCACUGCUGGUGCUCAUUCUGCUGUGUCUGCUCAUCUACUAUUGCCGGAGGCGCUGCCUGAAGCCCAGGCAACAGCACCGCAAGCUGCAGCUCUCCGGGCCCUCCGAGGGCAACAAACGAGACCAGGCCACCUCGAUGUCCCAGCUCCAUCUCAUCUGUGGGGGGCCCCUGGAGCCCACCCCGUCGGGGGACCCCGAGGCGCCUCCUCCCGGCCCCCUCCACUCCGCCUUCUCCAGCUCCCGCGACUUGGCCGCCUCCCGGGAUGACUUCUUCCGCGCCAAGCCGCGCUCCGUCUGCCGCCCGGCCGCCGAGCCUGCAGGUGCCCGCGGGGGCGAGGGCUCCGGGCAGAAGGGCGCCCGCUCCGUCGAGGGCCCGGGCGGGCUGGAGCCAGGCCUGGAGGAGUACCGACGGGGGCCCUCCCGGGCCACGGCCUUCCUGCCGGAGCCGCCCUCGCCGCCGCCGCCCUUCGAGCACUACCUGGGCCACAAGGGGGCGGCCGAGAGCAAGACGCCCGACUUCCUGCUGUCGCAGUCGGUGGACCAGCUGGCGCGGCCGCCGUCGCUCAGCCAGGCGGGGCAGCUCAUCUUCUGCGGCUCCAUCGACCACCUCAAGGACAGCGUCUACCGCAACGUCAUGCCCACCCUGGUGAUCCCCGCGCACUACGUGCGCCUGGGCGGCGAGGCGGGAGCCGCGGGGGCGGGCGACGAGCCCCUCCCGCCCGAGGGCACGGCCCCCGGGCCCGCACGCCCUUUCCCCCAGCCCGACUCCCAGCGCCCGCUCAUGCCCGGUCACUCGGGCGAGGGCGGCGAGGGCGGCGGCGGCGGCGGCGAGGGCUGGGGCGGCGGGCGCUCGGCGCCGGUCAGCGGCUCGGUCACCAUCCCCGUGCUGUUCAACGAGUCCACCAUGGCGCAGCUCAACGGGGAGCUGCAGGCGCUGACCGAGAAGAAGCUGCUCGAACUGGGCGUGAAGCCGCACCCGCGCGCCUGGUUCGUGUCCCUGGACGGGCGCUCCAACUCGCAGGUGCGUCACUCCUACAUCGACCUGCAGGCGGGCGGCGGCCGCAGCACGGACGCCAGCCUGGACUCGGGCGUCGACGUGCACGAGGCGCGGCCCGCGCGCCGGCGGCCCCUGCGCGAGGAGCGGGAGCGGGAGCGGGAGCGCGCGCCGCCCGCCGCCCCGCCGCCGCCGCCGCCCGCGGCCCCGCGCCUGGCGCUCAGCGAGGACACGGAGCCCAGCAGCAGCGAGAGCCGCACGGGCCUCUGCUCUCCCGAGGACAACUCGCUGACGCCGCUGCUGGACGAGGUGGCGGCGCCCGAGGGCCGAGCGGCCACGGUGCCCCGGGGUCGCGGCCGCAGCCGCGGGGACAGCUCCCGCAGCAGCGCCAGCGAGCUCCGGCGCGACUCGCUCACCAGCCCCGAGGACGAGCUGGGGGCGGAGGCGGGCGACGACGCGGGCGACAAGAAGAGCCCUUGGCAGCGGCGGGAGGAGCGGCCGCUGAUGGUGUUCAACGUCAAAUAGCGCCGCCUCCGGACCCGGCACCGCCCGCGGGUCUGGCUCCGCCCCGCCCCGCCCGCCCGCCCGGGCCUGUCCCCGGGGUGCGCACCCCAAGGGAGUUGCGGGGGCACUCGCUUUGAAAGGUGCCCAGAGGCCUGCAGAGCUGUUCAGUGGUGGCGCCCCCCAACUCUGAGUGUCAGAAGCAAGAGAUUCCCAACAUUUGAACUAACCCAACCUCGAGGCGCGUGAGCAAGGAAAAAAGUGGCUGAGAGGCGGAAGUUAGCUUGUCCUACCCGACAAGAAAGGAAGUAAGACAGAGCCAGACGUAACCACUCCCAAGCCCUUGGAGGAAGCCAAGCUCUCCAGACUCACUUCCAAUCCUCUGAGCUCCGGGACUAGGAAGGGCGACCCUCCCGUUCCCAGGCGCCGUGGAGACGACCGACCUACCUACCUACCUACCUACCACCACCGCAACCAGACGGGGGAGGCGGAGUCGGCUCAAAAACAGAGCAGUCCCUGCUUUGCGGGAAGGGGCUGCAGCCCGCGGGAACGCGAGAAGGUAGAGAAAGAGCGUCCCUUCUAAUGGGGGGUCACUGCCAUUCUGCUUAGAUUGCCACCCUUCAAAACACUCCCUCCAGUGCAUCGCAAACCCCCAAAGACGACACUCUGAGCGUCUUCUCUUGCCUCCCGAAUUGAACUCCGGAGGAACCUCAAGCACCCACGUCCCUGUGGCCGGGGCCUUGGAAAAGAGCGGGCGAGAGGUCUGCACUGCCGACCGCCUUACCUGCGUCCUGCUCCGCGCUCGCUGGGCAGCAGCAACCCCGCUGCUCACUGAGCCGGGCCUGGCAGCGCGAUGCCCCGCCCACCUCAGUUUCCAUUGGCCAGGCGUCCGGGCUGUCGAGCUCCCGUUGGCUACUCGUCGAUGUAGAGGCGGGGCCAUCCUGGAAGGCCGUGCUUCUUUUCUACUCAAUUCACUCCCUCCCCCUUUUCUAGGGAUCAUGUGAUUGGAGAAUCAUGUGAUGGGCGCCCUGGCUUGCUCUUUGCCUGGUGGUUUGCCCGAGGUGAGCCAGCGCCCGUCUGCAGACAUUGGCAGCCCAAGGAGCUGCCCCUUCGAGUGUGCGUUUAAGGGCGUUUGCGGGAUGUUCGCUUCUGGAUUUGGGACGCUUGUCCAUCCUGUUUCUAGUCUAUUCAACAAACUCAGAUUGAACUUUGGGCUGAAAGAGAGUUGUGAGGGCAAGGAUAAACCACUCGGCCCUUUCCCCAGGGUGCUCACCGAGGCCAUGGGGUGUCGGAGGGAGACAGACUCAGAUUCUACCUAAUUUAAGGUACACGGUCGUGUGCCAAGUGCACGGUGUGUGUAGGGAAACGGUAGCAGGUUAGCUCUAAGCGGGAAGAAGAGAUUUAAUUCCACCUUGGGGGCACCUUUUUGAGCUGAUCUGGGAAGGUUUGAACGCAGGUGGGAUAAGUUGGAUGGGAUUGUUGGAAAGAGCAUUAGGAAACGGGACGGAAAGGGCAGCCUUGGGCAAGGCUUGAAUGCCAAGUUCAAUGCAGUGGGGCUUGAAGAGUUGCUGGGUGCCUGGUACAAGGCCAGGCAGGGGGAUGGAUGCAGAGUGGGAGUGGUUUUGUGGUUUCAGGUAGCGCUGCCUUCCAGGAAUUGACAUGGCUGGUGAGGAGAGAGAGAUGUACCACACAGAACAGGUUAGCCAACAAUAGGAACCAGACUGUUCGGUGCCAAAGGGCCUAGCCCAGGCAGAGGCUGGUGAUGGGGGACACAGCAGGAGAGAGGAGAGGCCCAGAGGAAGCCUGGUGCUGAGCCGUGGAGGAAGGAAUGGAGAGUGCUGUAGGCUAAGCCAAGAGCUUGAGCUGAGGGUGAGACUGGGGUAGGGACAAAUCCAAGUCUGGGUAGGGAAGGAGCGGCUGGGUUGGGGAAUGGUGUGGCAGUGGUGCUCAGCCCGGGGCUCGCGAGGGACCAGACAGUGGAUAAAGCUCCUGAGAACCGGGACUAUUCUGCACACUGGUGAUAUUAGGGGCAAAAACAGAAUAUUGGUGGCUAGCUAUAGUUAUAAGAAAUAUUAAUUAUGCUCUUCUGUUCACCAAGAUGGCCUUGUUCUGAUUAAAGAAAGGACAUUCUAACCUGGCUGGAAGUUGUACGCCCCCGGGACUCAGGUGUCAACCUGGGACCUCGCAGUCAACCUUGGACCCGAGUCAACCUUGGAAUGCGGUCCAUUCUCAUUCAAGAACUGCCUAUUUGCUCAGCCGGCAUCACUCAUCAUUGAUGUUUCUAUCUCUCUCCUCCUCCCUUCCUCUCCAAAAUCAAUUAAAUAUAUACAGAUAUUUUUUAAAUGGAUGCAGUGAACCUCCACUUCCUUGGAGGGUGUAUAGGGCCCCUGAAGACUGCAGAACCUCCCCCUAUUCCUCAAGAAACACUGCAGUAUCCUUACACCCUCCAAUUCAGGAAUCUCUCUAUCUUUUUCUGCUUUUUGCUUUUAAGGAGGGAGAAUCAUUUUGUGAUCGGGGAAGCAAAACAAAAACAAAACAAACAAACAAAAAGAACCAAAGUUCCAGAGCCACACAGAGAUGUGCCCUGUUCGCUGAGCCCUCCCAGCCGCCUUCACCAGGCCUUGUGAUUUUUAAUGGUGACAAAGUCAAUUGACUGUAAAUGUGACGGCUUAUUUCUGACUCUCCGUUCUAUUCCACUAAACCCGGUGUCUGUCCUUACGUCAGUUCUACACUGUCUUGAUUACUAUAGCUUUGUAGCAAGUUUUGAAAUUGGGAGAAGUAGGAGUGCUCCAACUUCUUUUUCAAUAUAUAUAUUUUUUAUUAUUAAUUCUGAGUCCCUCGAAUUUCUAUGUGAAUUUUAGGAUCAGUUCCUGCAAAGGAGACAGUUGAGAUUUUGAUAGGGAAUGCACUGAAUCUAUAGGUCAAUUUGAGGUGCAUUGCCAUCUUAACAAUAUUAAGUCUCCCUAUCCAUGAACAUGGGAUGUCUUUCCAUUUAUUUGUUUCUUUAUGACAGUUGUCAAGAAUUUCAUGCUAUAAAUGUUUUAUAGUUUCCUUAAUAAGUAUCAUGGAAUGAGCUUUUAUGUGUUUCCACUUUUUUAAGUUUUUCUUUUUUCUUAAAUAUAUUUUUAUUGAUUUCAGAGAGGAAAGGAGAAGGGAGAGAGAGAAACAUCAAUGAUGAGAAACAUUGAUCAACUGCCUACUGCACACCCCACACCGGGGAUUGAACAUGCAAUCUGGGCAUGUGCCCUGACUGGGAAUUGAACUGUGACCUCCUGGCUCAGCCACUGAGCAACACCAGCUGGACUGUGUUUCCAGUUUUUUGAAGUUACCAAUAAUUAUGCAAUGAAUAUUUGUGAACAGGUAUCUGAGUGCACGUGGUGGGGUUAAAUGCCUAAAUGUAACAUCGCUGGGUAAAGGGUCUGCAUAUUUGAAAUGUUUAUGACAAAUUCCCUUAAAAUUUUCCAACUUACACUCUCAGUCAUGGUGUUUGAGGGGCACUUAUUUCCCAUUUACUUGCCAACUUUGGAUAUGCCAGUUUAAUUUUUUUUUUUUUUUUUUUAGCCAAUCUGUCGAAGAUAUUCCCUGGUUGUUUUAUCAGCAUCUCCUUGAUCUCUAGGGAAGCUGAGUAUUUGUGCGUAUACUUAUUCUGUUUAUAUAUUUCUUCUGUGAAUUGCCUGUUCUUAUCUGCAUUAGUCAGGGUUCUCCAGAGAAACAGAACUAAUUGCUUGUGUACGUAGAAAGAGAUUUAUUAAAAGGAAUGGACUCACAUGAUUAUGGAAGCUAGCAAGUCCAAAAUCUUUGGGGUAAACCAGCAGGCUAGAGACUCAGGGGAGCAGAUGGUGCAGAUGAAGUCCAAAGGCAGUCGCUGAAAAAUUUCCUCUUGCUUAGAGAAGCCAGUUUUUUUUCUAUUCAGCCCUUCAACUAAUUGGAGAUGGCCCACAUUAUGGUGGGCAAUUUGCUUCGGACAAAAUUUAUCUCUUUAAAUAUUCAUCUCAUCCAAAAACACCCAAAAAGUUGACAGAUAAAACGAUCUCCUUAUCCUUUGUUCAUUUUUCUACAGUUUGUCUUUUUCUUAUUGAACUGUGGAAGUUCUUUAUACAUGCUGGAUAUUAUAUAUGUUACAGAU
Myotis myotis is the source of this 6754-nucleotide RNA transcript. It is a transcript of the gene named family with sequence similarity 171 member A2, with no coding region annotated. The transcript is spliced from 9 exons. The record is from RefSeq and is a predicted model, not a curated record. Lineage: Eukaryota; Metazoa; Chordata; Mammalia; Chiroptera; Vespertilionidae.